This 468-nucleotide ribosomal RNA is filed under the name uncultured bacterium. RNAcentral's name for it is "partial 16S ribosomal RNA". It matches the Rfam family "Bacterial small subunit ribosomal RNA", at positions 28 to 507 of the family's 1533-position model. The record is from RNAcentral.
GACGAACGCUGGCGGCGUGCUUAACACAUGCAAGUCGAACGGAAAGGCCCUGCUUUUGUGGGGUGCUCGAGUGGCGAACGGGUGAGUAACACGUGAGUAACCUGCCCUUUACUUUGGGAUAACUUCAGGAAACUGGGGCUAAUACCGGAUAGGAGCUCCUGCUGCAUGGUGGGGGUUGGAAAUUUUCGGCGGUUGGGGAUGGACUCGCGGCUUAUCAGCUUGUUGGUGGGGUAGUGGCUUACCAAGGCUUUGACGGGUAGCCGGCCUGAGAGGGUGACCGGCCACAUUGGGACUGAGAUACGGACCAGACUCCUACGGGAGGCAGCAGUGGGGAAUAUUGCACAAUGGGCGGAAGCCUGAUGCAGCAACGCCGCGUGCGGGAUGACGGCCUUCGGGUUGUAAACCGCUUUCGCCUGUGACGAAGCGUGAGUGACGGUAAUGGGUAAAGAAGCACCGGCUAACUACGUG